This 150-nucleotide ribosomal RNA is filed under the name Actinomycetes bacterium. RNAcentral describes it as "partial 16S ribosomal RNA". It matches the Rfam family "Bacterial small subunit ribosomal RNA", at positions 1 to 149 of the family's 1533-position model. Lineage: Bacteria; Bacillati; Actinomycetota; Actinomycetes. The record is from RNAcentral.
UUGACGGAGAGUUUGAUCCUGGCUCAGGACGAACGCUGGCGGCGGGCCUAAUACAUGCAAGUCGAACGCAGUCGACCUUCGGGUCAUAUGACUGAGUGGCGAACGGGUGAGUAACACGUGAGAAACCUGCCCCGAAGACUGGAAUAACCC